AGGCAGCAGUGGGGGAAUAUUGCACAAUGGGCGCAAGCCUGAUGCAGCCAUGCCGCGUGUGUGAAGAAGGCCUUCGGGUUGUAAAGCACUUUCAGUCGUGAGGAAGGUGGUAGUGUUAAUAGCACUAUCAUUUGACGUUAGCGACAGAAGAAAGCACCGGCUAACUCCGUGCCAGCAGCCGCGGUAAUACGGAGGGUGCGAGCGUUAAUCGGAAUUACUGGGCGUAAAGCGCAUGCAGGUGGUUUGUUAAGUUCAGAUGUGAAAGACCCGGGGCUCAACCUCGGAAUAGCAUUUGAAACUAGGCAGACUAGAGUACUGUAGAGGGGGGUAGGAAUUUCAGGUGUAGCGGUGAAAUGCGUAGAGAUCUGAAGGAAUACCGGUGGCGAAGGCGGCCCCCUCGGACAGAUACUGACACUCAGAUGCGAAAGCGUGGGGAGCAAACAGGAUUAGAUACCCUGGUAG
This 462-nucleotide ribosomal RNA is filed under the name uncultured bacterium. RNAcentral's name for it is "bacterial SSU rRNA". It matches the Rfam family "Bacterial small subunit ribosomal RNA", at positions 346 to 793 of the family's 1533-position model. The record is from RNAcentral.